RNAcentral lists this ribosomal RNA (137 nucleotides) under uncultured eukaryote. RNAcentral's name for it is "partial 18S ribosomal RNA". It matches the Rfam family "Eukaryotic small subunit ribosomal RNA", at positions 1299 to 1458 of the family's 1831-position model. The record is from RNAcentral.
UGGUGGAGUGAUUUGUCUGCCUAAUUGCGAUAACGAACGAGACCUUAACCUGCUAAAUAGCCAGGCUAGCUUUGGCUGGUCGCCGGCUUCUUAGAGGGACUAUCGGCUCAAGCCGAUGGAAGUUUGAGGCAAUAACA